AGCUAUGCGGAGGAGGAAUGACAAGUAGAAGAGGGGAAAAGGGAAAAUAUAAACAAAAAUAAAUAGUACAUUUCACACAGAAGCAGAGGAACAGAAAGUGAAAUCUGAGAUAGACCAUCAAGCUUCAGACCAUCAUGCAACAAGGGCUCCAGCCAGUUCCAGAUGAAGACACCACCCCGGGCCAUCAAGGAGCUUCCCUGCCUCCACUAGACAGAGCAGAGUGAGAGUUCCGUGAUUCCCAAUAGGUAGGGGCUACGCCCUAAGCCAGCAUGAAGCAAUUACAGAAAAAAAGACCAUUGGUUCCUCUGCCUCCCAAUGGGGAUCACAUCUUUCAGUGGGGAGAUGAGGCAGAAAAAUAAGGUCUGGAGGCAGGGAAUUCAAGCCCGAUUCACACGUCAGCUAUGACAGAAACUAUCCUCUCCAUAGGGUGUAGGCCAAGUAAAUGACUUUGUAACUUUACUCCUCAUUUUCUUAGGGUGCACCCCAAGAAACCAAUGGAAUCCUCUAGAGCGUAUUUAAAUUCCCCAAAAUUCUGUAAUGGGGCCCUUGAGCCCUUAUGCUCAGGCCCACUCCCACACUGUGGAGUGUACUUUCAUUUUCAGUAAAUCCCUCAUUUCUUCCUUGC
Molecule: non-coding RNA, 625 nt
Organism: Macaca mulatta (Rhesus monkey)
Lineage: Eukaryota; Metazoa; Chordata; Mammalia; Primates; Cercopithecidae
Source: RefSeq, a predicted model, not a curated record